UAAUUUUAUUGUAGUUAUUUUUUUUUAUAAUUGUGUUUUUUUAUGUAAAAAAUUUUUUUUUUUCAUUUUUAAGCUAUAAUUAAUUUUACUUAGAACAUAUUUUUUUUUUAGAUUAAUUUAAGUGCCAGCAAUCGCGGUUAUACUUAAAUAAAAAAAAAUUUUUUUUGACAAAUUAACAUAUGUGUUUUUUAAAAAAGGUGUAAUUUUUUUUUAAAAAAUUUUAAACAAAAAACGGAUUUGAUACCCGUGUAUUAUUAUUUAUUACUAUAAGAAGUAAAAAAAAAUUAUACAAUUAGACGGUUUAAUAAAAAAUAGAGGAACAUGUUUUUGAUCCGAAAAUACACGAUAUUUUGAUUUUUAUGAAAAGUUGUAUAUGUCCGUUUUUAAUAAAAAAAUAAUUUUUUUUUUUUUUUUUUUUUUUCAGGUCGACAUGCACAAGAAAACUAUAUAAUGUGUUUCAAGAUAUUAAAAUUUUAUGAAAUGAUUUAUUUUAAAAGAGAAUUUAUAAGUAUAAAUAUUUAUUUUUUAAAAUAUUUAGAAAAAUACAUAAAGUACUCACCGCCCGCUAAUUAUAUAACCCCAGGUUUAAAUUAUAAUAAGGCGUAACAAGGUAGGUAGUCUAAAAAGACCACCUAGUUAUUUUUUCAUUUUUUUUUUUC
Molecule: ribosomal RNA, 659 nt
Filed under: Lissoclinum patella
Lineage: Eukaryota; Metazoa; Chordata; Ascidiacea; Aplousobranchia; Didemnidae
Description: 12S ribosomal RNA
Source: RNAcentral